UGGGGAAUAUUGCGCAAUGGGCGAAAGCCUGACGCAGCGACGCCGCGUGAGGGAUGAAGGUUUUCGGAUCGUAAACCUCUGUCAGAAGGGAAGAAACCGCACUGUGCUAAUCAGCAGUGCCUUGACGGUACCUUCAAAGGAAGCACCGGCUAACUCCGUGCCAGCAGCCGCGGUAAUACGGAGGGUGCAAGCGUUAAUCGGCAUUACUGGGCGUAAAGCGCACGUAGGCUGCUUUGUAAGUCAGGGGUGAAAUCCCACGGCUCAACCGUGGGAAUGACUUUGAUACUGCCUAGCUUGAAUCCGGGAGAGGGUGGCGGAAUUCCAGGUGUAGGAGUGAAAUCCGUAGAUAUCUGGAGGAACAUCAGUGGCGAAGGCGGCCACCUGGACCGGUAUUGACGCUGAGGUGCGAAAGCGUGGGGAGCAAACAGG
This 429-nucleotide ribosomal RNA is filed under the name Fusobacteriota bacterium. RNAcentral's name for it is "Fusobacteria bacterium partial 16S ribosomal RNA". It matches the Rfam family "Bacterial small subunit ribosomal RNA", at positions 355 to 776 of the family's 1533-position model. The record is from RNAcentral. Lineage: Bacteria; Fusobacteriati; Fusobacteriota.